AGCUCCAAUAGCGUAUAUUAAAGUUGUUGCAGUUAAAAAGCUCGUAGUUGAAGUUCUGGCUGUUCAGGUCCUCAGCCAUUUAGGCGGGGAUUCUGACAGUCAUCCGCUUGCAAGCAUAUGUUCGGCCUUAAACAGCUGGCUAUGUGAGUAAGCAAUUUACCUUGAGAAAAACAGAGUGUUCCAGGCAGGUUUGUCCGGGAUGCGUUAGCAUGGAAUAAUAGAACAUGACUGAAGUCUAUUUAUUGGUUUAAGGCUUUAGUAAUGAUUAAUAGGAACAGUCGGGGGCAUUCGUACUCAGCAGUCAGAGGUGAAAUUCUAAGAUUUGCUGAAGACGAACUAAUGCGAAAGCAUUUGCCAAGGAUGUUUUCA
Molecule: ribosomal RNA, 369 nt
Filed under: uncultured Peritrichia
Lineage: Eukaryota; Ciliophora; Oligohymenophorea
Description: SSU rRNA
Rfam family: Eukaryotic small subunit ribosomal RNA
Source: RNAcentral